This 73-nucleotide transfer RNA is filed under the name Actinomycetales bacterium. RNAcentral's name for it is "tRNA-Leu". It matches the Rfam family "tRNA". Rfam says of the family: Transfer RNA (tRNA) molecules are approximately 80 nucleotides in length. Their secondary structure includes four short double-helical elements and three loops (D, anti-codon, and T loops). Lineage: Bacteria; Bacillati; Actinomycetota; Actinomycetes; Actinomycetales. The record is from RNAcentral.
GCCCCUGUAGUCCAAUGGCAGAGACACCCGGCUUAAACCCGGCACAGUGAGGGUUCGACUCCCUCCAGGGGCA